This 104-nucleotide small nuclear RNA is filed under the name Procavia capensis (Cape rock hyrax). Lineage: Eukaryota; Metazoa; Chordata; Mammalia; Hyracoidea; Procaviidae. The record is from RNAcentral.
GUGCUCAACUAGUCAGCACAUAUACUAAAAUUUGAAUGAUACAGAGAUUAGCAUGAGCUCUACACAAACAAGACACAUAAAUUUAUGAAGCAGUCCACAUUUUC